UGGGGAAUAUUGCACAAUGGGCGCAAGCCUGAUGCAGCAACGCCGCGUGAACGAUGAAGGUCUUCGGAUCGUAAAGUUCUGUUGCAGGGGAAGAUAAUGACGGUACCCUGUGAGGAAGCCCCGGCUAACUACGUGCCAGCAGCCGCGGUAAUACGUAGGGGGCCAGCGUUAUCCGGAUUUACUGGGCGUAAAGGGUGCGUAGGUGGUCUUUCAAGUCGGUGGUUAAAGGCUACGGCUCAACCGUAGUUAGCCUCCGAAACUGGAAGACUUGAGUGCAGGAGAAGAAAGGGGAAUUCCCAAUGUAGCGGUGGAAUGCGUAGAUAUUGGGAGGAACACCAGUAGGGGAGGAGGCUUUCUGGACUGCAACUGACACUGAGGCACGAAAGCGUGGGUAGCAAACAGG
Molecule: ribosomal RNA, 403 nt
Filed under: Verrucomicrobiota bacterium
Lineage: Bacteria; Pseudomonadati; Verrucomicrobiota
Description: Verrucomicrobia bacterium partial 16S ribosomal RNA
Rfam family: Bacterial small subunit ribosomal RNA
Source: RNAcentral